AUUGAACGCUGGCGGAAUGCUUUACACAUGCAAGUCGAACGGUAGAGGGGGCAACCCCUCGAGAGUGGCGAACGGGUGAGUAAUAUAUCGGAACGUGCCCAGUCGUGGGGGAUAACGUAGCGAAAGUUACGCUAAUACUGCAUACGAUCUAAGGAUGAAAGCGGGGGAUCGCAAGACCACGCGCGAUUGGAGCGGCCGAUAUCAGAUUAGGUAGUUGGUGGGGUAAAGGCUCACCAAGCCAACGAUCUGUAGCUGGUCUGAGAGGACGACCAGCCACACUGGAACUGAGACACGGUCCAGACUCCUACGGGAGGCAGCAGUGGGGAAUUUUGGACAAUGGGCGAAAGCCUGAUCCAGCCAUUCCGCGUGCAGGAUGAAGGCCCUCGGGUUGUAAACUGCUUUUGUACAGAACGAAAAGGUUUCUACUAAUACUAGGAGCUCAUGACGGUACUGUAAGAAUAAGCACCGGCUAACUACGUGCCAGCCGCCGCGGUAA
Molecule: ribosomal RNA, 496 nt
Filed under: uncultured bacterium
Lineage: Bacteria
Description: partial 16S ribosomal RNA
Rfam family: Bacterial small subunit ribosomal RNA
Source: RNAcentral